This 19-nucleotide ribosomal RNA is filed under the name Tulasnella sp. M-3. RNAcentral describes it as "partial 18S ribosomal RNA". Lineage: Eukaryota; Fungi; Basidiomycota; Agaricomycetes; Cantharellales; Tulasnellaceae. The record is from RNAcentral.
AAGUACAAGUCGUAACAAG